UUUAAGAAAGCUUAGUGCGUGUGGGUGUGUGUGGUAUAUGGCCAGAAGAGAUAUACAGAAAGAGGAAGCAGACGUGUUGUAGAUGCAAACGGAGCAGAGUUGGUGGAUAUCCGGAUUUUAACCGGCCCUGGAGGUAACGAGUCUCCCCUUGGUUUU
Long non-coding RNA from Etheostoma spectabile (orangethroat darter), 156 nucleotides. RefSeq lists it as uncharacterized. Lineage: Eukaryota; Metazoa; Chordata; Actinopteri; Perciformes; Percidae. The transcript is spliced from 3 exons. The record is from RefSeq and is a predicted model, not a curated record.